This 253-nucleotide ribosomal RNA is filed under the name uncultured bacterium. RNAcentral describes it as "partial 16S ribosomal RNA". It matches the Rfam family "Bacterial small subunit ribosomal RNA", at positions 524 to 776 of the family's 1533-position model. The record is from RNAcentral.
UACGGGGGGGGCAAGCGUUGUUCGGAAUUACUGGGCGUAAAGGGCUCGUAGGUGGCCAACUAAGUCAGACGUGAAAUCCCUCGGCUUAACCGGGGAACUGCGUCUGAUACUGGAUGGCUUGAGUUCGGGAGAGGGAUGCGGAAUUCCAGGUAUAGCGGUGAAAUGCGUAGAUAUCUGGAGGAACACCGGUGGCGAAGGCGGCAUCCUGGACCGAUACUGACACUGAGGAGCGAAAGCCAGGGGAGCAAACGGG